This 626-nucleotide long non-coding RNA is filed under the name Triticum aestivum (bread wheat). RNAcentral's name for it is "long non-coding RNA (TAES_LNC002694)". Lineage: Eukaryota; Viridiplantae; Streptophyta; Magnoliopsida; Poales; Poaceae. The record is from RNAcentral.
UCCGAUUGGGUCUGGCAGAGGUUCCUUCCUCCUUAGCUUUCUUGGAUCCCUCUGCCUUGCAUGCGAGACCGAUACACUUGAAAUGACACAUCACAAAGAUUUCUCUUUGUUGCUCAGUGGCCAACUUUGUAAGAAGGCUGGUUUCUACAAAGAGCUUGGUGCUAAAAUCAAAGAGGUUAUCCAUCUUACUAUAGAGAAUAUUGACCUUGGAUUCAAGAUCUUUGCCCAUCAUCCAGUAAGAAUCAAUCCCCUGACCACUAUUGUUGCACAUGGUUUGGAGCUAGCAUUUUGCUCAUCAUACAAUGGCAUUUUGCUCAGAAUGAUUCUUUUUCCACGGCUAGGUUUAUGUGGGACUUCGCCUACGAGCAACGUGGCGAGCAACCCGUACAUGGUGUUUGGCCCGUCGUCGGAAUCGGAAUCACGCGAGACACUCUAAAAUCUGAGUUGCUGCCAUAGACAACACCUCUUAUAGUAUUAGUUGGUCAUACAGUACAUUGAGAAGAUGUAGGCAUAACGAUAUGAGAUGGCGUUGACCAUCAUUUGAACAAAUAUAAUUUUAGCUCUAGCCUGCCUUGCAUGGCGCUCAUGUAAGGUAAGCAUAGCACCGCUCCCUAGUCGUAUAUGUC